Molecule: transfer RNA, 17 nt
Filed under: Eugenia stipitata
Lineage: Eukaryota; Viridiplantae; Streptophyta; Magnoliopsida; Myrtales; Myrtaceae
Description: partial tRNA-His
Source: RNAcentral
CGGAUGUAGCCAAGUGC